CAGUCGCCGCGGGAAUACGUAGGUCCCGAGCGUUGUCCGGAUUUAUUGGGCGUAAAGCGAGCGCAGGCGGUUAGAUAAGUCUGAAGUUAAAGGCUGUGGCUUAACCAUAGUAUGCUUUGGAAACUGUUUAACUUGAGUGCAGAAGGGGAGAGUGGAAUUCCAUGUGUAGCGGUGAAAUGCGUAGAUAUAUGGAGGAACACCGGUGGCGAAAGCGGCUCUCUGGUCUGUAACUGACGCUGAGGCUCGAAAGCGUGGGGAGCAAACAGGAUUAGAUACCCGAGUAGUCCCUGUCUCUUAUACA
Molecule: ribosomal RNA, 301 nt
Filed under: uncultured bacterium
Lineage: Bacteria
Description: partial 16S ribosomal RNA
Rfam family: Bacterial small subunit ribosomal RNA
Source: RNAcentral